GACGAACGCUGGCGGCGCGCCUAACACAUGCAAGUCGAACGAGCGAGAGGGAGCUUGCUUUCUCGAGCGAGUGGCGAACGGGUGAGUAACGCGUGAGGAACCUGCCUCAAAGAGGGGGACAACAGUUGGAAACGACUGCUAAUACCGCAUAAGCCCACGGUGCCGCAUGGCACAGAGGGAAAAGGAGCAAUCCGCUUUGAGAUGGCCUCGCGUCCGAUUAGCUAGUUGGUGAGGUAAUGGCCCACCAAGGCGACGAUCGGUAGCCGGACUGAGAGGUUGAACGGCCACAUUGGGACGGGGACACGGCCCAGACUCCUACGGAAGGCAGCAGUGGGGAUAUUGCACAAUGGGGGAAACCCUGAUGCAGCGACGCCGCGUGGAGGAAGAAGGUCUUCGGAUUGUAAACUCCUGUUGUUGGGGAAGAUAAUGACGGUACCCAACAAGGAAGUGACGGCUAACUACGUG
RNAcentral lists this ribosomal RNA (465 nucleotides) under uncultured bacterium. Its description in RNAcentral is "partial 16S ribosomal RNA". It matches the Rfam family "Bacterial small subunit ribosomal RNA", at positions 28 to 507 of the family's 1533-position model. The record is from RNAcentral.